Molecule: non-coding RNA, 29 nt
Filed under: Homo sapiens (human)
Lineage: Eukaryota; Metazoa; Chordata; Mammalia; Primates; Hominidae
Source: RNAcentral
UAUCAUAGCAUGUGUCACGCUACCUGAUA